RNAcentral lists this long non-coding RNA (478 nucleotides) under Homo sapiens (human). RNAcentral's name for it is "LHRI_LNC143.1". Lineage: Eukaryota; Metazoa; Chordata; Mammalia; Primates; Hominidae. The record is from RNAcentral.
GGGACAGCUUAGAGUAAAGGUUUAAGUGAAAGAGCAGAGACUUCGAAUAGAGACCACUUUAAAUUGCAAAUCUGAGAUUUUUUAACUGAAGGAAAAUUACCUCCCCCCAAAUCAGAGGACGAAUGAAGAAAAUAUGGAGAAAACUUUAACACAUACCAUAGACUAGACAAAAAAUAUAUGUUAAUUUUGUGUUCUGAAAUAAGACGCAAUCGGUCUUCUCUGGUUCUUUAGAAGGAGAGAGGAAGAGAGGAGGGGUGAUUAGAAGAAAUAAAAGGGAGAAAGUGAAUCAGAACUGAAAGGGGAUAACUUCAGGAAAGACAAGAAAAGGAAAAGUUGCACUUGGAAACAAGUCCAACUUUCUACCUUUCUGGACUUAAGAGAAAAGUAAAAUCAAUUUUCUCGUGUGAAACCUGGAAAGCAGAUGUUUUCAAAACACAGGAAGCUAUUUUGCCAUCAAAAGCAGGGAUGUAAUAAAGGC